Molecule: ribosomal RNA, 462 nt
Filed under: uncultured bacterium
Lineage: Bacteria
Description: partial 16S ribosomal RNA
Rfam family: Bacterial small subunit ribosomal RNA
Source: RNAcentral
GAUGAACGCUGACAGAAUGCUUAACACAUGCAAGUCUUUGGCGAAGCUGUGCUUGCACCGCCUAGCCAAGGCGGACGGGUGAGUAACGCGUAAGGAACUUGCCCUGCAGUCAGGGAUAACAGACGGAAACGACUGAUAAGACCUGGUAAAGUCAGGCGGACUCAUGUCCAGCCUGAUGAAAAGAGAUGCUGCAGGAGAGCCUUGCGUCCUAUUAGCUUGUUGGUGGGGUAAUGGCCCACCAAGGCGAUGGUAGGGAGCCGGCCUGAGAGGGUGGACGGCCACAAGGGGACGGAGAUACGGCCCGUACUCCUACGGGAGGCAGCAGUGGGGAAUAUUGGACAAUGGGGGCAACCCUGAUCCAGCAAUUCGGUGUGCACGAUGAAGGUUUUCGGAUUGUAAAGUGCUUUCAGCAGGGAAGAAAAAAUGACGGUACCUGCAGAAGAAGCGACGGCUAAAUACGUG